AUUCCAUUCUACAGAACCAAGAGAAGGAUAUCAAAGAUAAAGUAGAAAGUAAAAUUAAAUUACCUUCAUCUCCCUUGCUCUCUCCAAAUAUGUGUAUGAAUGACAUAUCUCCUCAACUAAUUCAAAAAAGGAGACUGAAAAUAAAACAAUCUUGUCCAAUUUAAACCUAGCAUAAACAGUACAAGAAAUAUUAAUUUCCCCCCUAGAGCUUCCGUGCCAGCACCCCCGUCCCAGGUGGCCCCAAUAGAAGAAGAUGCCGCAACUUGUUCUUGUUUGUCCAUCGAUGAACCGAAUGCCAAAGUUAGGUCGGAAGACAUUCGAAGAAAAUAACAGAGAGAAAAGAUAAGAAAACCGAAAUAGGGAAAGAGAUUAGUUGAUAGACUUGUUAUCUAAUUUAUUACGCCAACUUUUGCGCCGUCGUCGGCCACCACUGCCCGCGCUACAGAAACUGUUGUGGCAUGGUGAGGAGAUGACAUCGCCGACGAUGAGGGAGAUCAGAAAUGAUAAAGCAUUGUCGCACAAGUGGGCAUUUACCACAUUUCUGCCCGGAACCGCGGAAAGCAGCGGACCGACCGCGGGAGCCAGUCAAAGGUCUCGGGCAACAGUGAUGGGCCGCAGAAAUUUACAUAAAUCGAUUCUACCGCAAUGUCACAAACAAUUAUUUCACAGCUUUUUAUAUAGUAAAGCAGCAGUGAAGCCGUCCGACCCGAAGCCAUAGCAGGAUUCUUAAUUAUGGCAUGAAGUGCGGCGUGGGUAAAGUUGUUGCGGGUUCUUCCUCCACAUCAAACAGGGCUCUUCACGUCUUCUUCCUCUCGAUCGAACGCAGUUUCUUCCUCCAUGGCUAGCUACGUGUACGGCACCAUCGUGCUAGGUGGGAUUAGAUUCCAGGACCUUGGAAUAACUUUCAAAGGUCAUCACCAGCUUAAUUAGCUUGUGUCCCCAACUCAUUUAAUUUAAUUAUUGUUUAGUUUUUGGAUAAAUGCAAUCAUGAUACUCUAUGCUCUUUGUUGUCUAUUUGUCUUGAGUUAUUCUGUGCAUUGUUUAGCAUAAACAUACUUUAAGUGUUCGUUUGGGGUAGUUGUAGCUUUUUUGCAAAGGUGGUUGCAAAGCUAUUGCGGGUAAAAUGACUUUCUUAAAAGCUACUAUAGGCAUUAUAAAUAUUUUAUAUUUUUGAAAAAAAUUAGACAUCAACAUUCUUAGAGCUACCAUACCAUAUUUUAUCUAAUUUAAUUGUGAAAAUGGUAAUGGUUACUAACUUCUCAAAUUUGUCAAUGCAUCUAUAAUGAUUCUCGGGAUGUUGCAACAUAAUCUCAGUGAAUGAUAUGUUUGUUAUUGGAAAGAAUUUAUUAGUAUGUGAUUUGUGUCUAUGCAUGUAUAUGUUUUGUCUAUCAUAAUUAUUCUUUCUAUAAUGGCAACCAGAGAAAAGCCUUGACAAUUUGCGGUGUCAUUCAUUGACAGUUUCAUGAUCUUGCUGAAUUGUUUCCUAUUGGUGGAAAGGUAUUCUUUUUCCAACAACGAGAUUUUAAGAAUAUUUUAUGCAUGCUAUAAAUUGAAACUUGAUUCUGUUUUAGGAUGUAAUGUGUGACAAUUUGUCAUUUGUAAAUUCUUAAAGCUAGGGAUAUCUGUCAUUAUUACUAAUGAAAAUCCUAUCUGAUUAUAGUGUCCAGAUACAAAUCACUUAUUCAUAGGAGAUUAUGUUGAUCAUUGCUCUGUUGAAACCGUCACAGUAAGAAGUUUCACAUCUGUACUGUUUUCCUUAACUAAAUAUUUUCUAAUUAUUUGUAAUUUGUAUUAUAUUAAAAAUUGUUUGACUAUCACACUCCCACAUUGAAAGCAACUAAAAAGGGGAAAAAAAUACAAUAGUCUUUUUUUCAUUUCCUAGCUAUUUAGUCUUGGCUGGCUGACUUAUAUGACUAUUCUUCUGUUUUGUUUUUGAGGUCGUACUAGUAUAUUGUGGACCCUUACUAUUUUCAUGACUUAUGUUCUUUAUUUAACAACUCCUUGUUGCCCUCAAAGUUCGAUACUCUCAGAGAAUCAACAUCCUUGGGGAAACCACGAAAGUCAGCAUGUCUACUGAUAUAGCCAUUAAUGGAGUUUCCCAUUUUUUGUCAUGAAUAUGGUAAGAGAAAGCCAUUUCAUUAUAUGAACUUAUAAUCCGUUUGAUGAUGUUUUGUCUCUUCAUGCUAUUGAUGAUGAAAUAUUCCCCUCAUUGUGAUGAAAUUGCUGAUCACACAAGUUUAUGGAUUUUAUGAUGAAUGAUUAAGAAAGUGAGUUUCAAUCAUCUCAAAAUCUUUAUGUUUUUUUUACAAAUAUAUAUUGAUGUCAAACAUUUUUUUGUUUGGAAGCAUGCCUUUUGAUCCUUUGAUUACUAAGGCUUCGUUUAGGAUGGCUCUUUUAUUGUUUCUUAAAGCAACUUUUUAGCACAAAAAUUAAAAUUUUUGUGCUAAAAAGUUGCUUUAAGAAGCAGCAAAAAAGGCCAUCGUAAAUGAAGCAUAAGUCUUCAGAUCAAUAAAGUGCUUUUGAAAAAUGAAGAACUAUGAAGUUCACAUGUACUAGAAUUGUGGAAUUUUUUCUUUGUAAUUAAAGCUGCGUAGAUGGUCAUAGCGCACAUUUUGUUGUAGUUCUCUUACAGCCACAUAUUGCUAUUCCUCAUUUUAAAUUAAUAAAUUAUACUUGGUUAAUGCUCUUCCUUGUACUUCAUAUAGUUAGUACUAAGGCUCGAAGAGUUGCUGGAAGGUUCAAUUUACCUAUCAUUGGUGUUCAUUACACGGAAGCUCAUGCUCGUGUUGCUAGGUUUGAAAAAUUCUACUCAAAAUUUUGUCCUUUAUUACUUCAACCUGCUGUGUUCUUUGAUUGCUAUUCUAGAAACUUGAACUAUAGCAACAACAGGAGGCCAUAACCAUUCUACAUUAACUAGUUUUGCUAACAGCUACGGCCAUCCCAAGUUGACUCUUAAAACAUCAAACGACCAAACAUCCAUUACUACAUACUCAAAAAAUUGUGAAUUAAUUAUGGGCUUCAAUACCUCACUUUCAAAGAGUUAAAUCUCAUGCAUUUGUUGCCAGAGCACCUGUCCAUCCUUGGAAAAAUUAUUAGGUGCGGAGUGCAGACGGGGUGAGAACCGUCUGCACAGACACAGGGUACCGAGCGGUACCCAGUGGUACCGAGCGGUACCGAACGGUACCGAGCGCGGUUUUAUACUAGUGUGCGGAUGGUUCUCCCGUCCGCACUCCGCACCUAAUAAUUUCUCCCAUCCUUGAUGACCAGUCAAACAUUCACUUUGAUUGUGUUCCUCUAGAAUUUGUGACAGACGUCCUGAAACAAAUCAAGCUUUCUAUAUCAAACAGAUCCGCCUCUUGAAAUAUUGAUGAAACAUUGAGAUGAUCGACAGAGAAAGACCUUAAGGAUCUUAUCACACCGCAAGUGUGGUAUACGGUAAUGAUGGCCCCUAGGAUAUGCUGACUGGCGCGAUCUAAAGGCGCGACAUACAGAUUGCUAUCACACAUGAGUUCGAAAGUCAUGAUGAUAUUACUGAAGAAUAUUUUAUCAGCAUUUUUGUGCAGUUAGCAGUAAUCGUUCGAAGAAUAUGUUUAUCAGCACUUUGUCAACUGAUCAACUCAGGAAAGUACUACUGCCACAAUGAGGUAAUUUGAAUAUAUUCUAUUAUACCAUUAUUAAGAGUAUUAUCUGUUUUAUUACAUUAUUGAGAGACAACAAUGUUAGAGAUGCAGGUGCACCUGAUGGAGUUCUCAACUACUAUUCAAAGAGAUGAAUGAUGUCCGCCAAAAAAUUGUUUUAAUCAUUAUUUUGAAUAUCGGAUCGAAUCGGUCAAUUCAACCGGUUUAAUUGUGAA
Dendrobium catenatum is the source of this 3853-nucleotide long non-coding RNA. RefSeq lists it as uncharacterized. NCBI's taxonomy places the organism in Eukaryota, Viridiplantae, Streptophyta, Magnoliopsida, Asparagales, Orchidaceae. The transcript is spliced from 2 exons. The record is from RefSeq and is a predicted model, not a curated record.